This 253-nucleotide ribosomal RNA is filed under the name uncultured bacterium. RNAcentral describes it as "partial 16S ribosomal RNA". It matches the Rfam family "Bacterial small subunit ribosomal RNA", at positions 524 to 776 of the family's 1533-position model. The record is from RNAcentral.
UACGUAGGGGGCUAGCGUUGUCCGGAUUUAUUGGGCGUAAAGAGCGUGUAGGCGGCCAGAUAGGUCUGCUGUGAAAACUCGAGGCUCAACCUCGAGCUGUCGGCGGAAACCAUUUGGCUAGAGUCCGGAAGAGGAGAGUGGAAUUCCUGGUGUAGCGGUGAAAUGCGCAGAUAUCAGGAAGAACACCUAUGGCGAAGGCAGGUCUCUGGGCAUUAACUGACGCUGAGGAGCGAAAGCGUGGGGAGCGAACAGG